AGAGUUUGAUCCUGGCUCAGAGCGAACGCUGGCGGCGUGCUUAAGACAUGCAAGUCGAACGUAACGGGGAGCAAUCCCUUAAAAGUGGCGUACGGGUGAGUAACACGUGGAUAAUCUACCUUGAAGUUGGGGAUAACAUUCCGAAAGGAGUGCUAAUACCGGAAUAAUGUGCGGAGACGGGUUUCGUUUCCGUAAGAAAGGGGCAGCAAUGUCUCGCUUUAAGAUGAAUCUGCGUCCCAUUAGCUAGUUGGUAGGGUAACGGCCUACCAAGGCGAUGAUGGGUAGCUGGUCUGAGAGGAUGAUCAGCCACACUGGAACUGAAACACGGUCCAGACUCCUACGGGAGGCAGCAGUCGGGAAUUUUGCGCAAUGGACGAAAGUCUGACGCAGCCACGCCGCGUGAGUGAAGAAGGCCCUCGGGUUGUAAAGCUCUGUCGGAAGGGACAAAAGUCCAGGGUAACCCCCUGGUUUGAUGGUACCUUCAAAGGAAGCACCGGCUAACUUCGUGCCAGCAGCCGCGGUAAUACGAAGGGUGCAAGCGUUGCUCGGAAUUAUUGGGCGUAAAGGGCAGGUAGGUGGUCUUGUUUGUCUAAGGUGAAAUCCCCGAGCUUAACUUGGGAACUGCCUUGGAAACGGCGAGACUGGAGUACUGGAGAGGGUCGUAGAAUUCUUGGUGUAGCGGUAAAAUGCGUAGAUAUCAAGAGGAAUACCAGAGGCGAAGGCGGCGACCUGGACAGUUACUGACACUCAACUGCGAAAGCGUGGGGAGCAAACAGGAUUAGAUACCCUGGUAGUCCACGCUGUAAACGAUGGGUACUAGGUCUAGUGGGUUUUGACGCCUGCUGGACCGUAGCUAACGCGCUAAGUACCCCGCCUGGGAAGUACGGUCGCAAGACUAAAACUCAAAGGAAUUGACGGGGGCCCGCACAAGCGGUGGAUCAUGUGGUUUAAUUCGAAGCAACGCGAAGAACCUUACCUGGGUUUGACAUCCUUUGACAGUUCUAGAGAUAGAAUCUUCGUAGCAAUACGACAAAGUGACAGGUGCUGCAUGGCUGUCGUCAGCUCGUGUGGUGACAUGUCGGGUUAAGUCCCUCAACGAGCGCAACCCCUGUCUUUAGUUGCCAGCAUUAAGUUGGGCACUCUAAAGAGACUGCCGUGGUGAACACGGAGGAAGGUGGGGAUGACGUCAAGUCCUCAUGGCCCUUAUAUCCAGGGCUACACACGUGAUACAAUGGAUGGCACAAAGGGAAGCGAGAUAGUGAUGUUAAGCUAAUCCCAAAAAACCAUUCUCAGUUCGGAUUGAAGUCUGCAACUCGACUUCAUGAAGGUGGAAUCGCUAGUAAUCGCGGAUCAGAACGCCGCGGUGAAUACGUUCCCGGGCCUUGUACACACCGCCCGUCACACCAUGGGAGCUGACUCAACCAGAAGACAAUCAGGCUAACCGUAAGGAGGCCUUUGUCCAAGGUGGGGUUGGUGACUGGGGUGAAGUCGUAACAAGGUA
RNAcentral lists this ribosomal RNA (1501 nucleotides) under metagenome. RNAcentral describes it as "bacterial SSU rRNA". It matches the Rfam family "Bacterial small subunit ribosomal RNA". The record is from RNAcentral.